CAUCAGACAGAACAAGGACUUUGCCAUGUAGAUAUGUCAGUGAUAAGAUCUCGUAAUUGAUCAAUGAGAAGCUUGAGAUGUGCAUUCUUGUUCACAAGUUCCUUUCUUAAAUUGGAGGCUUGUUUUUCUAAUUUCUCAACCUCCGCUUGAUCUGCUGGAGCUGAUGAACUGUUUGCAGUUGAACCAGUUUCAAAUGCUUUUGCCUGUUUGAGGACAAAGAAACCAUUGAUAAUUCUGCAAAUAGUGCAACAAUAUUGCAAUUUACUUCACAAAUUUGCAAGACAGGGCUAAUUACAUAGAUGAAUGGUAUAGAAGCAUAAGUUGUACAGCCACAUAAUAAUGAGCGGCUCCAAUCGAUGAUUCUGAUCCCUUUUGGUGGAUUCAUAGGAAGAUAUUUCGGGGAAAACUAUGUUUUGAGGUUGCGAAGUAGUAAAAUUGGGAAGGGAGGAUGAUUCUAUGUCCAAUCUGAACCUUAUAAAAGCUUUGUGAGUAGAUUUACAGGAACAAACAAAUUUCACAUUUUUCUAAUGUUUAUUAUCAUACAGUGUUGCCAUUACUAUCCAUGGUUCUGUUUUGGAAAACUAAUCCAUACAUUACUAUCAUGAAGCGAAAAUGAACUAAAUUCCAGUUUUACCUUUUGAGAAUUCUAAAUCCUACGUAGAGCAGCUCAGGAAUUGUUAUACCAAAACAGAGCCUCAUCCAAAUACCCAUGACCUGUAGUGUACCAACAGCAUUUCCACCACCCAAGUGAUAGAUAGCAUCAGACACAGCAUCGCCAUUGGCUACAACAUCGAUUUGAGAGAAAGAGAAUAAGGAUAUUACUAACCGCAGUAAUGGGUGAAGCUGUGGUGGUACUAGUAGUAAUAGAAGAAGAGGAGGACCACAAAGCAGGGUUACAGAGAUUGUCGUUCAUGAAAGAGAGGAUCGGUAAGCAGCUUGCUCGGAUGGUUUCUUCUAGAUGCUUCUGGCUUUCUAUUGCAAGAUCUUGCGUCGUCUUGGGAAGCAUUAUGGAACUCAUGAGGCU
This 1024-nucleotide unclassified non-coding RNA is filed under the name Hevea brasiliensis (rubber tree). Lineage: Eukaryota; Viridiplantae; Streptophyta; Magnoliopsida; Malpighiales; Euphorbiaceae. The record is from RNAcentral.